Molecule: transfer RNA, 88 nt
Filed under: Acidobacteriaceae bacterium
Lineage: Bacteria; Pseudomonadati; Acidobacteriota; Terriglobia; Terriglobales; Acidobacteriaceae
Description: tRNA-Leu
Rfam family: tRNA
About the family: Transfer RNA (tRNA) molecules are approximately 80 nucleotides in length.
Source: RNAcentral
GCGGAUGUGGCGGAAUUGGCAGACGCGCUAGAUUCAGGUUCUAGUGGAGGAGUACUCCGUGAAGGUUCAAGUCCUUUCAUCCGCACCA